UGGGGAUGCUGACUUUUUUGCCCAGGUGCAUGACAUCUACAUCUGUAAAACAAUAUUCAUGUGCAUGAAAAACCCUAAGUCCCUGGGAUGACAGAAGUAGCUUAUGGAAGAGGAAUGAAGGCCAACAGCAGAGCCCCACCUCCUCACCUCUGGACCCAGGACUGUCUCCCUCCUUGACUCUCCCCACCGCACCUAUGCAUACUGUACACUGGGAAAGAGUCUCUCCUACCCCCUGGGAUCUCAGCACCUACACUGGCCCUACUCAUCAUCCCUGUCCUUGAAGUGUCUCCCUAAUCCCAAUUUAAACAGUGUAGUACUUUAUUGUCCCCUCAAGGCCUAAAUAGUUUGAUCUAAUUGGUGGUAAAGAUAAUGAUAGACUCUUCUAUUGUACGCAAAAUAAUGGGAUUCCAAAAUCACUGCAGAUGGUGAUUGCAGCCAUGAAAUUAAAAGACUCUUACUCCUGGGAAGGAAA
This is a long non-coding RNA of Capra hircus (goat), 472 nucleotides long. RefSeq lists it as uncharacterized. The record is from RefSeq and is a predicted model, not a curated record. The transcript is spliced from 3 exons. NCBI's taxonomy places the organism in Eukaryota, Metazoa, Chordata, Mammalia, Artiodactyla, Bovidae.